Molecule: transfer RNA, 72 nt
Filed under: Camelus bactrianus (Bactrian camel)
Lineage: Eukaryota; Metazoa; Chordata; Mammalia; Artiodactyla; Camelidae
Also listed under: 2 other names
Rfam family: tRNA
About the family: Transfer RNA (tRNA) molecules are approximately 80 nucleotides in length.
Source: Rfam by way of RNAcentral
GAAGGUAGAGCUCAGUGGUAGAGUGUGUGCUUAGCAUGCAUGAAGUCCUGGGUUCAAUCCCCAGUACCUCUA